GACGAACGCUGGCGGCGUGCUUAACACAUGCAAGUCGAACGGAAAGGCCCUGCUUUUGUGGGGUGCUCGAGUGGCGAACGGGUGAGUAACACGUGAGUAACCUGCCCUUGACUUUGGGAUAACUUCAGGAAACUGGGGCUAAUACCGGAUAGGAGCUCCUGCUGCAUGGUGGGGGUUGGAAAGUUUCGGCGGUUGGGGAUGGACUCGCGGCUUAUCAGCUUGUUUGUGGGGUAGGGGCUUACCAAGGCUUUGACGGGUAGCCGGCCUGAGAGGGUGACCGGCCACAUUGGGACUGAGAUACGGCCCAGACUCCUACGGGAGGCAGCAGUGGGGAAUAUUGCACAAUGGGCGGAAGCCUGAUGCAGCAACGCCGCGUGCGGGAUGACGGCCUUCGGGUUGUAAACCGCUUUCGCCUGUGACGAAGCGUGAGUGACGGUAAUGGGUAAAGAAGCACCGGCUAACUACGUG
RNAcentral lists this ribosomal RNA (468 nucleotides) under uncultured bacterium. Its description in RNAcentral is "partial 16S ribosomal RNA". It matches the Rfam family "Bacterial small subunit ribosomal RNA", at positions 28 to 507 of the family's 1533-position model. The record is from RNAcentral.